RNAcentral lists this ribosomal RNA (194 nucleotides) under uncultured bacterium. Its description in RNAcentral is "partial 16S ribosomal RNA". It matches the Rfam family "Bacterial small subunit ribosomal RNA", at positions 338 to 524 of the family's 1533-position model. The record is from RNAcentral.
CCUACGGGAGGCAGCAGUAGGGAAUCUUCCGCAAUGGGCGAAAGCCUGACGGAGCAACGCCGCGUGAGUGAUGAAGGGUUUCGGCUCGUAAAACUCUGUUAUUAGGGAAGAACAAAUGUGUAAGUAACUGUGCACGUCUUGACGGUACCUAAUCAGAAAGCCACGGCUAACUACGUGCCAGCAGCCGCGGUAAU